Unclassified non-coding RNA from Pongo abelii (Sumatran orangutan), 147 nucleotides. It matches the Rfam family "Metazoan signal recognition particle RNA". From Rfam's summary of the family: The signal recognition particle (SRP) is a universally conserved ribonucleoprotein. It is involved in the co-translational targeting of proteins to membranes. The record is from Ensembl. Lineage: Eukaryota; Metazoa; Chordata; Mammalia; Primates; Hominidae.
GCCAGGUGUGGUGGCCUGCACCUGUAGUCCCAGCUACUUGGGAGGCUGAGAUGGGAGGAUGGCUUGAGCCCAGGAGGUGGAAGUUGCAGUGAGCCAAGGUCAUGCCACUGCACUUCCAGCCUGGGCAACAAAGCCAGACUGUCUCAA